UUCAAUCCUACACGUUAUUGUACUACAGUACAGUAGGUGGCGGUAUACUGUAGUAUGCUGUUCAUGUCCGCAUCGUCAUACGCGCCAGCACCCCUGAAAGACUGCAGGAACAGAAACCCCUGGAAAGAUGAGUUCCCUAUUAAAGAGAGGCUUGAUGCUGUUUACUCCACACUCUUAGGCUGAUUUUGGAUUAUUUGUCUGUGAAGACACAGUAGUUCAGUUUCUGAAUCCCAUCAAGAAUGAAGACCUGCAGGCCACCAUAUUGAGCUGCAGGGUCUGAUGUCAUAAUAUGGCGCUUUUCCAAUGUAGGGUACAACUUGGCUCGGCACAAUGCAGCUCAUACCGCUUUCAUUGCUUUUCCAGUACAGUUUAGUAUCGCUUCAGAGUGGGUGAGAUUAUAGGCAGGGGUGCACAUAAGGGUGUGUAUGCGCGAUUAGAAACAAUUCCAGCGUAGCAACGUUGCUGAAAUUUUGUUACAUAGUUAGCUAAUUUACUGCAACAUAAGGGAUUUCAUAACAUCUCGAUCACUCCCCAGUGACUGGUCCCAGUAUAGGUCAUAAACCCCGCCUCCCCCAUGUUAUUUAAUGGGACUUGAGACCAAGCUGUUUUUUGUCAUUUACUGUAGGUUUUAUCAUGCUGAUGUAAAUUCAAGUGUUUGUUUUUAAAAUAAGUUUGUUUUUAGUUAGUUAGUUAAUGCUAUAAAACGGUGUUGUCACGUCAUGAUUGACAGCUGUGUAUGCACAUUCUGGGAGAGUGAGGGCGGGGCCUUGAUUUCGCGGCUUUACAUCCUGCUCACUACUGUGCAGGACUGGUCCCGAAAUUGCUACUGCGCAGACUCAAGACCCAAGAUGUCAGCGGCGACACUGGCGGCUUCAUUUUUUACCAAUGGAAGAGAGCAAGCUCUCCAGGUGCUCCUUUUAGAACCAGGACAAAAAAAGUUAUGUGCACCUCUGAUUAUAGGCUUAUUGUUACAGUUGCGUCCCCUCUA
Paramisgurnus dabryanus is the source of this 988-nucleotide long non-coding RNA. RefSeq lists it as uncharacterized. The record is from RefSeq and is a predicted model, not a curated record. Lineage: Eukaryota; Metazoa; Chordata; Actinopteri; Cypriniformes; Cobitidae.